This 77-nucleotide transfer RNA is filed under the name compost metagenome. RNAcentral's name for it is "tRNA-Pro". It matches the Rfam family "tRNA". From Rfam's summary of the family: Transfer RNA (tRNA) molecules are approximately 80 nucleotides in length. Their secondary structure includes four short double-helical elements and three loops (D, anti-codon, and T loops). The record is from RNAcentral.
CGGGGUAUAGCUCAGUUUGGUAGAGCGCGUAUUUUGGGAAUACGAGGCCGCAGGUUCAAGUCCUGCUGCUCCGACCA